AUUUGACGUUAGCGACAGAAGAAGCACCGGCUAACUCCGUGCCAGCAGCCGCGGUAAUACGGAGGGUGCGAGCGUUAAUCGGAAUUACUGGCGUAAAGCGCAUGCAGGUGGUUUGUUAAGUUCAGAUGUGAAAGACCCGGGGCGUCAACCUCGGAAUAGCAUUUGAAACUAGGCAGACUAGAGUACUGUAGAGGGGGGUAGGAAGUUUCAGGUGUAGCGGUGAAAUAGCGUAGAGAUCUGAAGGAAUACCGGUGGCGAAGGCGGCCCCCUCGGACAGAUACUGACACUCAGAUGCGAAAGCGUGGGGAGCAAACAGGAUUAGAUACCCCUGGUAG
Molecule: ribosomal RNA, 335 nt
Filed under: uncultured bacterium
Lineage: Bacteria
Description: bacterial SSU rRNA
Rfam family: Bacterial small subunit ribosomal RNA
Source: RNAcentral